This 72-nucleotide transfer RNA is filed under the name Sphaerodactylus townsendi. RNAcentral's name for it is "tRNA-Val". It matches the Rfam family "tRNA". From Rfam's summary of the family: Transfer RNA (tRNA) molecules are approximately 80 nucleotides in length. Their secondary structure includes four short double-helical elements and three loops (D, anti-codon, and T loops). The record is from RNAcentral. Lineage: Eukaryota; Metazoa; Chordata; Lepidosauria; Squamata; Sphaerodactylidae.
GGUGCUGUGGCUUUGUGAUGGAGCAUCUGCUUUACAUGCAGAAGGUCCUGGGUUUAAUCUCUGGCACCUCCA